RNAcentral lists this ribosomal RNA (492 nucleotides) under uncultured bacterium. RNAcentral describes it as "partial 16S ribosomal RNA". It matches the Rfam family "Bacterial small subunit ribosomal RNA", at positions 29 to 507 of the family's 1533-position model. The record is from RNAcentral.
AGUGAACGCUGGCGGUAGGCCUAACACAUGCAAGUCGAACGGCAGCACAGUAAGAGCUUGCUCUUACGGGUGGCGAGUGGCGGACGGGUGAGGAAUACAUCGGAAUCUACUUUUUCGUGGGGGAUAACGUAGGGAAACUUACGCUAAUACCGCAUACGACCUACGGGUGAAAGCAGGGGAUCUUCGGACCUUGCGCGAUUGAACGAGCCGAUGUCGGAUUAGCUAGUUGGCGGGGUAAAGGCCCACCAAGGCGACGAUCCGUAGCUGGUCUGAGAGGAUGAUCAGCCACACUGGAACUGAGACACGGUCCAGACUCCUACGGGAGGCAGCAGUGGGGAAUAUUGGACAAUGGGCGCAAGCCUGAUCCAGCCAUACCGCGUGGGUGAAGAAGGCCUUCGGGUUGUGAAGCCCUUUUGUUGGGAAAGAAAAGCAGCAGGUUGAUACCCCGCUGUUCUGACGGUACCCAAAGAAUAAGCACCGGCUAACUUCGUG